GACGAACGCUGGCGGCGUGCUUAACACAUGCAAGUCGAACGGAAAGGCCUCUUUCGGGGGGUACUCGAGUGGCGAACGGGUGAGUAACACGUGAGUAACCUGCCCUUGACUUUGGGAUAACUUCAGGAAACUGGGGCUAAUACCGGAUAGGAGCUCCUGCUGCAUGGUGGGGGUUGGAAUGUUUCGGCGGUUGGGGAUGGACUCGCGGCUUAUCAGCUUGUUGGUGGGGUAGUGGCUUACCAAGGCCUUGACGGGUAGCCGGCCUGAGAGGGUGACCGGCCACAUUGGGACUGAGAUACGGCCCAGACUCCUACGGGGGGCAGCAGUGGGGAAUAUUGCACAAUGGGUGGAAGCCUGAUGCAGCAACGCCGUGAGCAGGAUGACGGCCUUCGGGUUGUAAACCGCUUUCGCUCAUGACGAAGCUUUGUGUGACGGUAGUGGGUAAAGAAGCACCGGCUAACUACGUG
RNAcentral lists this ribosomal RNA (467 nucleotides) under uncultured bacterium. RNAcentral describes it as "partial 16S ribosomal RNA". It matches the Rfam family "Bacterial small subunit ribosomal RNA", at positions 28 to 507 of the family's 1533-position model. The record is from RNAcentral.